Apis cerana (Asiatic honeybee) is the source of this 348-nucleotide long non-coding RNA. RefSeq lists it as uncharacterized. NCBI's taxonomy places the organism in Eukaryota, Metazoa, Arthropoda, Insecta, Hymenoptera, Apidae. The record is from RefSeq and is a predicted model, not a curated record.
GUUUCUUUCUCGUUUCCUGUUUCCCCGCGACGAGACGAUGAUCGCUCGGGUAAUUAGUUUUGCGCGGUGAAAAGAAAGGGAAAGGAGAACGAAAAGGAAUCAUAGAAGGUAAGCCUUCCAGAAGAACCGAUCAUGGAGCACGCCAUCUGAUCAAUAUCUGUUUAAGACUAUUUCUUCUUCGUUCGAAAAAGGGGUAAAUUAUAACAACUUUUCAAUUUACAAACUCACUUCACUUUUCAAUACCUAUACUUCUUCUUAUACCACCAGAAGAAUGAUUAAAAAAAAAAAGAAAAAACGAAACGUCGAUAAAUACGUCAAACACGACUCUCGUUCUCGAGAUCACAAACG